RNAcentral lists this ribosomal RNA (406 nucleotides) under uncultured bacterium. Its description in RNAcentral is "partial 16S ribosomal RNA". It matches the Rfam family "Bacterial small subunit ribosomal RNA", at positions 29 to 526 of the family's 1533-position model. The record is from RNAcentral.
AUUGAACGCUGGCGGCAGGCCUAACACAUGCAAGUCGAACGAGUGGCGGACGGGUGAGUAAUGUCUGGGAAACUGCCUGAUGGAGGGGGAUAACUAAUGGAAACAGUAGCUACUACCGCAUACCAUCGAAUGUGCCCAGAGGGGAUUAGCUAGUAGGUGGGGUAAAGGCUCACCUAGGCGACGAUCCCUAGCUGGUCUGCGAGGAUGACCAGCCACACUGGAACGUAGACACGGUCCAGACUCAGAGGCGAGGCAGCAGUGGGGAAGAUUGCACAAUGGGCGCAAGGCGGAUGCAUCAAUGCCGCGUGUAUGAAGAAGGCUCUCGGGUUGUAAAGUACUUUCAGCGGGGAGGCGUUACCCGCAGAAGAAGAACCUGCUAACUCCGGGCCAGCAGCGGAGGUAAUAC